This 253-nucleotide ribosomal RNA is filed under the name uncultured bacterium. RNAcentral's name for it is "partial 16S ribosomal RNA". It matches the Rfam family "Bacterial small subunit ribosomal RNA", at positions 524 to 776 of the family's 1533-position model. The record is from RNAcentral.
GACGUAGGGGGCGAGCGUUGUCCGGAUUUAUUGGGCGUAAAGCGCGCGUAGGCGGCCCGGCAAGUCGGAUGUGAAAUCCCGGGGCUCAACCCCGGGCCUGCAUCCGAGACUCCCGGGCUGGAGGCAGGUAGGGGAGAUCGGAAUUCCUGGUGUAGCGGUGAAAUGCGCAGAUAUCAGGAGGAACACCGGUGGCGAAGGCGGAUCUCUGGGCCUGUCCUGACGCUGAGGCGCGAAAGCGAGGGGAGCGAACAGG